UACGGAGGGUGCAAGCGUUAAUCGGAAUUACUGGGCGUAAAGCGUACGUAGGCGGCUUGUUAAGCAAGAUGUGAAAUCCCCGGGCUCAACCUGGGAAUGGCAUUUUGAACUGGCAGGCUCGAGUUCUGAAGAGGGUGGUAGAAUUUCCAGUGUAGCGGUGAAAUGCGUAGAUAUCGGGAGGAAGGCCGGUGGCGAAGGCGGCCUCCUGGGCCUGCACUGACGCUGAGGCGCGAAAGCGUGGGGAGCAAACAGG
RNAcentral lists this ribosomal RNA (253 nucleotides) under uncultured microorganism. Its description in RNAcentral is "partial 16S ribosomal RNA". It matches the Rfam family "Bacterial small subunit ribosomal RNA", at positions 524 to 776 of the family's 1533-position model. The record is from RNAcentral.